This 575-nucleotide long non-coding RNA is filed under the name Homo sapiens (human). RNAcentral's name for it is "HSALNT0084213". Lineage: Eukaryota; Metazoa; Chordata; Mammalia; Primates; Hominidae. The record is from RNAcentral.
GCGGAGGGGCUGCGCUACCCGGUCUUGGGUUUUUCAUCGGGGAGUGGGAGUGGACUGAAGGCUUGGCCGCUCCGCCUCACUGAGCCGGCUCAGCCAGCGCAGCUGUUCCUGGAACGCCAGUCCCUUAGGAUGGGAGAGAGCGGAGAAGGCAAAGAGGAACAGACUGGGAAAGAGACUGGAUAGAUUCUAAUAUGGCUACAUCCUGGUGGGAGGCAGGACACUGAAGUACUUAGAACCCCUCAGAAUGGCCAGAUCCUGCUCAUGCUUGGGCUAGAAGAAUGGAACCUUUGUAAUUCUGGACUUGUAAAUGGAAACACAUCACUUACUGUGAACCACAUCCCAGACAGACAUGGGCAGGUGAAAACAAAUUCUUCCAGAUGGCCUGACAGCACCUGUCUACAGUACAGUAUUGAGGCACACAGGACCUUGGAAAUAAAAGGGAAUAUUACAAAUACUGCAGAGACACAAGGAUUAGUUGUUUGUUUGUUUAAGGUAAGCAGAGAUGAGCAAUUUGCUUUUCGGAUUCCAAAAAAGAUUUGUUCUCCUUCUUUAAAGCAGCAAUUCACGCCAGAGAC